GCCUGGAUGGCUCAGUCGGUUAAGCGUCCGACUUCGGCUCAGGUCGUGAUCUCACGGUUUGUGGGUUCGAGCCCCACAUCAGGCU
Molecule: transfer RNA, 85 nt
Filed under: Felis catus (domestic cat)
Lineage: Eukaryota; Metazoa; Chordata; Mammalia; Carnivora; Felidae
Rfam family: tRNA
About the family: Transfer RNA (tRNA) molecules are approximately 80 nucleotides in length. Their secondary structure includes four short double-helical elements and three loops (D, anti-codon, and T loops).
Source: Rfam by way of RNAcentral